Molecule: ribosomal RNA, 404 nt
Filed under: Actinomycetes bacterium
Lineage: Bacteria; Bacillati; Actinomycetota; Actinomycetes
Description: Actinobacteria bacterium partial 16S ribosomal RNA
Rfam family: Bacterial small subunit ribosomal RNA
Source: RNAcentral
UGGGGAAUAUUGGACAAUGGGCGCAAGCCUGAUCCAGCCAUGCCGCGUGAGUGAUGAAGGCCCUAGGGUUGUAAAGCUCUUUCACCGGUGAAGAUAAUGACGGUAACCGGAGAAGAAGCCCCGGCUAACUUCGUGCCAGCAGCCGCGGUAAUACGAAGGGGGCUAGCGUUGUUCGGAUUUACUGGGCGUAAAGCGCACGUAGGCGGACUUUUAAGUCAGGGGUGAAAUCCCGGGGCUCAACCCCGGAACUGCCUUUGAUACUGGAAGUCUUGAGUAUGGUAGAGGUGAGUGAAAUUCCGGGUGGAGAGGUGAAAUUCAUAGAUAUUCGGAGGAACACCAGUGGCAAAGGCGGCUCACUGGACCAUUACUGACGCUGAGGUGCGAAAGCGGGGGGAGCAAACAGG